This 96-nucleotide ribosomal RNA is filed under the name Pseudomonas syringae pv. pisi. RNAcentral's name for it is "partial 16S ribosomal RNA". It matches the Rfam family "Bacterial small subunit ribosomal RNA", at positions 1443 to 1533 of the family's 1533-position model. The record is from RNAcentral. RNAcentral also lists the same sequence under 7 other names. Lineage: Bacteria; Pseudomonadati; Pseudomonadota; Gammaproteobacteria; Pseudomonadales; Pseudomonadaceae.
AAGGAGGGCGCUUACCACGGUAGGAUUCGUGACUGGGGUGAAGUCGUAACAAGGUAGCCGUAUCGGAAGGUGCGGCUGGAUCACCUCCUUUCUAGA